GAUGAACGCUGGCGGCGUGCCUAAUACAUGCAAGUCGAGCGAACAGACGAGGAGCUUGCUCCUCUGACGUUAGCGGCGGACGGGUGAGUAACACGUGGAUAACCUACCUAUAAGACUGGGAUAACUUCGGGAAACCGGAGCUAAUACCGGAUAAUAUAUUGAACCGCAUGGUUCAAUAGUGAAAGACGGUUUUGCUGUCACUUAUAGAUGGAUCCGCGCCGCAUUAGCUAGUUGGUAAGGAAACGGCUUACCAAGGCAACGAUGCGUAGCCGACCUGAGAGGGUGAUCGGCCACAAUGGAACUGAGACACGGUCCAGACUCCUACGGGAGGCAGCAGUAGGGAAUCUUCCGCAAUGGGCGAAAGCUUGACGGAGCAACGCCGCGUGAGUGAUGAAGGUCUUCGGAUCGUAAAACUCUGUUAUUAGGGAAGAACAAAUGUGUAAGUAACUAUGCACGUCUUGACGGGACCUAAUCAGAAAGCCACGGCGAACUACGU
This 496-nucleotide ribosomal RNA is filed under the name uncultured bacterium. RNAcentral describes it as "partial 16S ribosomal RNA". It matches the Rfam family "Bacterial small subunit ribosomal RNA", at positions 28 to 506 of the family's 1533-position model. The record is from RNAcentral.